UGCAAGUCGAGCGGUAGCACAGAGAGCUUGCUCUCGGGUGACGAGCGGCGGACGGGUGAGUAAUGUCUGGGAAACUGCCUGAUGGAGGGGGAUAACUACUGGAAACGGUAGCUAAUACCGCAUAACGUCGCAAGACCAAAGUGGGGGACCUUCGGGCCUCAUGCCAUCAGAUGUGCCCAGAUGGGAUUAGCUAGUAGGUGGGGUAACGGCUCACCUAGGCGACGAUCCCUAGCUGGUCUGAGAGGAUGACCAGCCACACUGGAACUGAGACACGGUCCAGACUCCUACGGGAGGCAGCAGUGGGGAAUAUUGCACAAUGGGCGCAAGCCUGAUGCAGCCAUGCCGCGUGUGUGAAGAAGGCCUUCGGGUUGUAAAGCACUUUCAGCGGGGAGGAAGGCGAUAAGGUUAAUAACCUUGUCGAUUGACGUUACCCGCAGAAGAAGCACCGGCUAACUCCGUGCCAGCAGCCGCGGUAAUACGGAGGGUGCAAGCGUUAAUCGGAAUUACUGGGCGUAAAGCGCACGCAGGCGGUCUGUCAAGUCGGAUGUGAAAUCCCCGGGCUCAACCUGGGAACUGCAUUCGAAACUGGCAGGCUAGAGUCUUGUAGAGGGGGGUAGAAUUCCAGGUGUAGCGGUGAAAUGCGUAGAGAUCUGGAGGAAUACCGGUGGCGAAGGCGGCCCCCUGGACAAAGACUGACGCUCAGGUGCGAAAGCGUGGGGAGCAAACAGGAUUAGAUACCCUGGUAGUCCACGCCGUAAACGAUGUCGAUUUGGAGGUUGUGCCCUUGAGGCGUGGCUUCCGGAGCUAACGCGUUAAAUCGACCGCCUGGGGAGUACGGCCGCAAGGUUAAAACUCAAAUGAAUUGACGGGGGCCCGCACAAGCGGUGGAGCAUGUGGUUUAAUUCGAUGCAACGCGAAGAACCUUACCUGGUCUUGACAUCCACAGAACUUAGCAGAGAUGCUUUGGUGCCUUCGGGAACUGUGAGACAGGUGCUGCAUGGCUGUCGUCAGCUCGUGUUGUGAAAUGUUGGGUUAAGUCCCGCAACGAGCGCAACCCUUAUCCUUUGUUGCCAGCGGUUAGGCCGGGAACUCAAAGGAGACUGCCAGUGAUAAACUGGAGGAAGGUGGGGAUGACGUCAAGUCAUCAUGGCCCUUACGACCAGGGCUACACACGUGCUACAAUGGCAUAUACAAAGAGAAGCGACCUCGCGAGAGCAAGCGGACCUCAUAAAGUAUGUCGUAGUCCGGAUUGGAGUCUGCAACUCGACUCCAUGAAGUCGGAAUCGCUAGUAAUCGUAGAUCAGAAUGCUACGGUGAAUACGUUCCCGGGCCUUGUACACACCGCCCGUCACACCAUGGGAGUGGGUUGCAAAAGAAGUAG
RNAcentral lists this ribosomal RNA (1381 nucleotides) under Klebsiella pneumoniae. Its description in RNAcentral is "bacterial SSU rRNA". It matches the Rfam family "Bacterial small subunit ribosomal RNA", at positions 56 to 1429 of the family's 1533-position model. The record is from RNAcentral. Lineage: Bacteria; Pseudomonadati; Pseudomonadota; Gammaproteobacteria; Enterobacterales; Enterobacteriaceae.